Molecule: transfer RNA, 72 nt
Filed under: Bos taurus (domestic cattle)
Lineage: Eukaryota; Metazoa; Chordata; Mammalia; Artiodactyla; Bovidae
Also listed under: 4 other names
Rfam family: tRNA
About the family: Transfer RNA (tRNA) molecules are approximately 80 nucleotides in length. Their secondary structure includes four short double-helical elements and three loops (D, anti-codon, and T loops).
Source: Rfam by way of RNAcentral
UCCCUGGUGGUCCAGUGGUUGGGACUUUGCCUUCCAAUGCAGGGGGCAUGGGUUCAAUCCCUGCUCAGGGAG